This 229-nucleotide ribosomal RNA is filed under the name uncultured bacterium. RNAcentral describes it as "partial 16S ribosomal RNA". It matches the Rfam family "Bacterial small subunit ribosomal RNA", at positions 15 to 235 of the family's 1533-position model. The record is from RNAcentral.
GAUCAUGGCUCAGGAUGAACGCUAGCUACAGGCUUAACACAUGCAAGUCGAGGGGCAGCAUGGUCUUAGCUUGCUAAGGCCGAUGGCGACCGGCGCACGGGUGAGUAACGCGUAUCCAACCUGCCUUACACUCUUGGACUGCCUUCUGAAAGGGAGAUUAAUACCGGAUAGUAUCGAGAGAUUGCAUGAUUACCCGAUUAAAGAUUCAUCGGUAACGGAUGGGGAUGCG